AAGACUAUACUUUCAGGGAUCAUUUCUAUAGUUUGUUACUAGAGAAGUUUCUCUGAUCGUGUAGAGCACCGAAAGCCACGAGGAGGAGGUGUAGCAUUCUCUCCUGAGCGUGAAGCCGACAUUUGAUGUUGCGUUUUUGCAGCUGUCACUUGUCAUUGAUGAUCGCUCUUGCUUUCUUCCCAGAAAGCAAGAGGGAGAGUAUGCAGUCUGAGUGGUU
Molecule: small nucleolar RNA, 217 nt
Organism: Carlito syrichta (Philippine tarsier)
Lineage: Eukaryota; Metazoa; Chordata; Mammalia; Primates; Tarsiidae
Source: Ensembl